RNAcentral lists this ribosomal RNA (288 nucleotides) under uncultured bacterium. RNAcentral's name for it is "partial 16S ribosomal RNA". It matches the Rfam family "Bacterial small subunit ribosomal RNA", at positions 335 to 603 of the family's 1533-position model. The record is from RNAcentral.
ACUCCUACGGGAGGCAGCAGUGGGAAUAUUGCACAAUGGGGAAGCCAUCGAUGCAGCCAUGCCGCGCUGUGUGAAGAAGGCCAAUUCGGGGCUUUGGUUAAAGACACUUUUCAGCGAGGAGGAAAAGGGGUGUGUGCUAAAUACCAUACAUCUGUGACGUUACUCGCAGAAGAAGCACCGGCUAACUCCGUGCCAGCAGCCGCGGUAAUACGGAGGGUGCGAGCGUUAAUCGGAAUUACUGGGCGUAAAGCGUGCGCAGGCGGUUUGUUAAGCGAGAUGUGAAAGCCC